This 29-nucleotide non-coding RNA is filed under the name Mus musculus (house mouse). Lineage: Eukaryota; Metazoa; Chordata; Mammalia; Rodentia; Muridae. The record is from RNAcentral.
GUCAUAAUGGGACCCAUUAUUUUGUAUGC